GAUGAACGCUGGCGGCGUGCCUAAUACAUGCAAGUCGAGCGAACGGACGAGAAGCUUGCUUCUCUGAUGUUAGCGGCGGACGGGUGAGUAACACGUGGAUAACCUACCUAUAAGACUGGGAUAACUUCGGGGAACCGGAGCUAAUACCGGAUGAUAUUUUGAACCGCAUGGUUCAAAAGUGAAAGACGGUCUUGCUGUCACUUAUAGAUGGAUCCGCGCUGCAUUAGCUAGUUGGUAAGGUAACGGCUUACCAAGGCAACGAUGCAUAGCCGACCUGAGAGGGUGAUCGGCCACACUGGAACUGAGACACGGUCCAGACUCCUACGGGAGGCAGCAGUAGGGAAUCUUCCGCAAUGGGCGAAAGCCUGACGGAGCAACGCCGCGUGAGUGAUGAAGGUCUUCGGAUCGUAAAACUCUGUUAUUAGGGAGGAACAUAUGUGUAAGUAACUGUGCACAUCUUGACGGUACCUAAUCAGAAAGCCACGGCUAACUACGUG
RNAcentral lists this ribosomal RNA (497 nucleotides) under uncultured bacterium. RNAcentral's name for it is "partial 16S ribosomal RNA". It matches the Rfam family "Bacterial small subunit ribosomal RNA", at positions 28 to 507 of the family's 1533-position model. The record is from RNAcentral.